Molecule: ribosomal RNA, 465 nt
Filed under: uncultured bacterium
Lineage: Bacteria
Description: partial 16S ribosomal RNA
Rfam family: Bacterial small subunit ribosomal RNA
Source: RNAcentral
GACGAACGCUGGCGGCGUGCUUAACACAUGCAAGUCGAACGGAAAGGCCCUGCUUGCAGGGUACUCGAGUGGCGAACGGGUGAGUAACACGUGGGUGAUCUGCCCUGCACUUCGGGAUAAGCCUGGGAAACUGGGUCUAAUACCGGAUAGGAGCCAUUUUUAGUGUGAUGGUUGGAAAGUUUUUUCGGUGUAGGAUGAGCUCGCGGCCUAUCAGCUUGUUGGUGGGGUAAUGGCCUACCAAGGCGGCGACGGGUAGCCGGCCUGAGAGGGUGGACGGCCACAUUGGGACUGAGGGACGGCCCAGACUCCUACGGGAGGCAGCAGUGGGGAAUAUUGCACAAUGGGCGCAAGCCUGAUGCAGCGACGCCGCGUGGGGGAUGACGGCCUUCGGGUUGUAAACUCCUUUCGCUAGGGACGAAGCUUUUUGUGACGGUACCUAGAGAAGAAGCACCGGCUAACUACGUG